This is a long non-coding RNA of Panicum virgatum (switchgrass), 452 nucleotides long. RefSeq lists it as uncharacterized. The record is from RefSeq and is a predicted model, not a curated record. NCBI's taxonomy places the organism in Eukaryota, Viridiplantae, Streptophyta, Magnoliopsida, Poales, Poaceae. The transcript has 2 exons.
AAUCUGCUCGGUCUCUCGUAGAUCCUAGGCGAGAUGCUAAUUUUGGUGCUCUCGGUGGAUGGACAGGUCGAGGCGAAACAUCAUCAGCGCAGAUCGAUCUUAUCCUCCGAGCGCGAGGCAGGACGGUGGCUACCCUGCGAGAUUUUGAUGCGGCGUUUAUUAUUAGCAUCCAUUGGCCAAAUCCAGAUAUGAAUGGGCUCAUCAUACCAUGUCCUCGAGCUGUGCCAGGAUGAGAAUCAUUCACUAUGCGAUGAAGUCCUUUUUUUCUUGGCGUGUGAUGCAGUGCUGUUGGCAGAUUCGUGGUGUGGAGGAUCAUGGUGGAGAGCUAUGAGCAGAUACUCGUGAGAAGGCUUUGCAAGUCGCAGUAGUCGAAGAAGCAGGUGUUAGAAUCAUUAACUCUUAGUUUCUGUACAAGAUUGAAACUAGCCAUACAAAUCGGGUUGGGGUUACAA